GACGAACGCUGGCGGCGUGCCUAAUACAUGCAAGUAGAACGCACAGUUUAUACCGUAGCUUGCUACACCAUAGACUGUGAGUUGCGAACGGGUGAGUAACGCGUAGGUAACCUGCCUGGUAGCGGGGGAUAACUAUUGGAAACGAUAGCUAAUACCGCAUAAUAUUGAUUAUUGCAUGAUAAUUAAUUGAAAGGUGCAAUUGCACCACUACCAGAUGGACCUGCGUUGUAUUAGCUAGUAGGUGAGGUAACGGCUCACCUAGGCGACGAUACAUAGCCGACCUGAGAGGGUGAUCGGCCAAGCUGGGACUGGGACACGGCCCAGACUCCUACGGGAGGGAGCAGUAGGGAAUCUUCGGCAAUGGACGAAAGUCUGACCGAGCAACGCCGCGUGAGUGAAGAAGGGUUUCGGGUCGUAAAGCUCUGUUGUAAGAGAAGAACGGGUGUGAGAGUGGAAAGUUCACACUGUGACGGUAUCUUAACAGAAAGGGACGGCUAACUACGUG
Molecule: ribosomal RNA, 505 nt
Filed under: uncultured bacterium
Lineage: Bacteria
Description: partial 16S ribosomal RNA
Rfam family: Bacterial small subunit ribosomal RNA
Source: RNAcentral